UACCAGCACCCCGAGUGGUCGGGACGAUUAUUGGGCCUAAAGCAUCCGUAGCUUGUUCUGCAAGUCCUCCGUUAAAUCCACCUGCUCAACAGAUGGGCUGCGGGGGAUACUACAGGGCUAGGAGGCGGGAGAGGCAAACGGUACUCAGUGGGUAGGGGUAAAAUCCUCUGAUCCAUAGAAGACCACCAGUGGCGAAGGCGGCUUGCCAGAACGCGAUCGACGGUGAGGGAUGAAAGCUGGGGGAGCAAACCGG
RNAcentral lists this ribosomal RNA (253 nucleotides) under uncultured bacterium. RNAcentral describes it as "partial 16S ribosomal RNA". It matches the Rfam family "Archaeal small subunit ribosomal RNA", at positions 474 to 727 of the family's 1478-position model. The record is from RNAcentral.